Molecule: long non-coding RNA, 274 nt
Organism: Teleopsis dalmanni
Lineage: Eukaryota; Metazoa; Arthropoda; Insecta; Diptera; Diopsidae
Exons: 2
Source: RefSeq, a predicted model, not a curated record
AACAUAAAUUAGCAUUUUUAAGAACUUGACUUCUGUAGAAAUCUCAACAAAGAAUGCGCCUCAUGGAUUUUCCAAUGCAAAAAAAUGUAUAAAAACUGCAAUCGUUUCUGAAAAUUCAUCAGUGAAACUUUUAAGUUGAACAGAAAACAUAAUAAAAAACUUCAGUAUGAAAUUCGUUGCAUUUGGAUUCUUGCUUGCCAUGAUCUUGGCUCUCUUUGCCAAUACUCUGGCUAAUCCUCAAGAUUAUCUUACUCCAGAAGAUCCACGUCAUCAU